Molecule: ribosomal RNA, 344 nt
Filed under: uncultured eukaryote
Lineage: Eukaryota
Description: SSU rRNA
Rfam family: Eukaryotic small subunit ribosomal RNA
Source: RNAcentral
CCAGCAGCCGCGGUAAUUCCAGCUCCAAUAGCGUAUAUUAAAGUUGUUGCAGUUAAAAAGCUCGUAGUCGGACUUCUGGCCGUCUGUUGCGGUCCGCCGCAAGGUGUGCACUGCGAAAGGCGGCCAUCUGCUCGAGGACGGCGUGUGCCCUUAAUUGGGUGUGCGUUGGACUCGGGGCCUUUACUUUGAAAAAAUUAGAGUGUUCAAAGCAGGCAUUGGCUUGAAUACAUUAGCAUGGAAUAAUGGAAUAGGACUUUGGUUCUAUUUUGUUGGUUUCUAGGACCGAAGUAAUGAUUAAUAGGGACAGUUGGGGGCAUUCGUAUUUAAUUGUCAGAGGUGAAAUU